RNAcentral lists this transfer RNA (85 nucleotides) under Felis catus (domestic cat). It matches the Rfam family "tRNA". From Rfam's summary of the family: Transfer RNA (tRNA) molecules are approximately 80 nucleotides in length. Their secondary structure includes four short double-helical elements and three loops (D, anti-codon, and T loops). Further hydrogen bonds mediate the characteristic L-shaped molecular structure. tRNAs have two regions of fundamental functional importance: the anti-codon, which is responsible for specific mRNA codon recognition, and the 3' end, to which the tRNAs corresponding amino acid is attached (by aminoacyl-tRNA synthetases). tRNAs cope with the degeneracy of the genetic code in two manners: having more than one tRNA (with a specific anti-codon) for a particular amino acid; and 'wobble' base-pairing, i.e. permitting non-standard base-pairing at the 3rd anti-codon position. Lineage: Eukaryota; Metazoa; Chordata; Mammalia; Carnivora; Felidae. The record is from Rfam by way of RNAcentral.
GCCUGGGUGGCUCAGUCGGUUGGGCGUCUGACUUUGGCUCAGGUGAUGAUCUCACCGUCUGUGGGUUUGAGCCCCGCAUUGGGCU